GACGAACGCUGGCGGCGUGCUUAACACAUGCAAGUCGAACGGAAAGGCCCUGCUCUUGUGGGUUGCUCGAGUGGCGAACGCGUGAGUAACACGGGAGUAACCUGCCCUUGACUUUCGGAUAACUUCAGGACACUCCGGCUAAUACCGGAGAGGAGCUCUUGCUGCAUGGUGGGGCUUGGUAAGUUUCGGCUGUUGGGGAUGGACUCGCGGCUUAUCCGCUUGUUGGUGUGGUAGUGGCUUACCAAGGCUUUGACGGGUAGCCGGCCUGAGAGGGUGACCGGACACAUUGGGACUGAGAUACGGCCCAGACUCCUACGGGAGGCAACAGUGGGGAAUAUUGCACAAUGGGCGGAAGCCUGAUGCAGCAACGCCGCGUGCGGGAUGACGGCCUUCGGGUUGUAAACCGCUUUCGCCUGUGACGAAGCGUGAGUGACGGUAAUGGGUAAAGAAGCACCGGCUAACUACGUG
RNAcentral lists this ribosomal RNA (468 nucleotides) under uncultured bacterium. Its description in RNAcentral is "partial 16S ribosomal RNA". It matches the Rfam family "Bacterial small subunit ribosomal RNA", at positions 28 to 507 of the family's 1533-position model. The record is from RNAcentral.